GUUAAGAGAAGCCAUUGAAGAACCUCAGUGAGAAAGUGGUGUAAAGCUCCUGUUGAUUGAAGAACUUGAGUGAGAAAGUGGUAAUAAUUUGGCAAUCUGCUCAUAUGUGUCUGGCCUCUCCAGUUGCUCUUAGCUCCUGAGGGCAAAGCCUGGGCCUCAUCCUCUUGUGGAUCCAGGAGAGCAGUCGCUGAAGAGAAAGAGGAAGAAAAGGAAUGGCUAGAAAAGAAAGUUUAUUUCCACUGCAGGAAGCACUGCCUCUCAUCUGAGAAAUGUCCCAAGCAGGAAUCAGGAAUUCAUCCUGAGGAGAUGUGCCGAGUGAUGUAUGUUCAGAGAUGCUCAUCACUGUGUUAUUUAUCACAGAGGAAAACUUGAACAAUAUCCUGAGGAGGACAAAGCCAUGAAGGAAAAGCCUCAUUGAAGAAGAGGAACCUAAGAGAAGCAGAAAGAACUCUAAAGAACUCCCAUAGGCC
Long non-coding RNA from Piliocolobus tephrosceles (Ugandan red Colobus), 470 nucleotides. RefSeq lists it as uncharacterized. The record is from RefSeq and is a predicted model, not a curated record. NCBI's taxonomy places the organism in Eukaryota, Metazoa, Chordata, Mammalia, Primates, Cercopithecidae. The transcript is spliced from 3 exons.